CUCACGAAGUGGUUGUAGUAUGUCUCCAGUCCAUAUCACAGCCAGCUUUGAUGAGCG
This 57-nucleotide microRNA precursor is filed under the name Heliconius melpomene (postman butterfly). Its description in RNAcentral is "Hme-Mir-2-P3-v1_pre stem-loop". Lineage: Eukaryota; Metazoa; Arthropoda; Insecta; Lepidoptera; Nymphalidae. The record is from RNAcentral.